This 3091-nucleotide long non-coding RNA is filed under the name Sus scrofa (pig). RNAcentral describes it as "lncRNA (ENSSSCG00030054699.1)". The record is from RNAcentral. Lineage: Eukaryota; Metazoa; Chordata; Mammalia; Artiodactyla; Suidae.
CACCAGGUAAAUUCCCCAGUGACACAGAUGGCUUGUUGGAUGGAGCUCACCACUGAGCCUCUGGCCUGUCAGGCGGUUCAGCUGGUUGUCAGGAUAAAAGGACGACAGGGCUGGCUGCCUCUGUCUCCUGUGAGCUUCUCAAGUGACAAAUGCUAGUGCUUCAGAAACAAACAAACAAAAAGAGUAAGAGGAAAAAUGCCUGUGAGCGAGUGGAGGGCAGUUAUGUUCUUCAUCUCACCUGCAUCUGAGAGCUUAGAUGUCACAGGAAUCAUUAGAACGCCUCAUAGGAGAACACAGGAACAGGCUGCUCUGUUUUAUUAUUUUCUUUUCUUUAUUAAAGUAUACUCGAUUUACAGUGUUGUGUUAAGUAUGUGCUAAUAAAAUGUUGUGUUAGUUUCAGUGUACUGCAAAGUGAUUCAUAUAUAUAAAUUCUUUUUCAGAUUAUUAUCCAUUAUAGGUUAUUGGAAAAUAUUGAGUAAAUUUCCCUGUGCUAUGUAGUAGGUCUUUGUUGAUUAUCCAUUUUAUAUGUUGUAGUUUUUAUCUGCUGAUUCAAACUCCUAAUUUAUUCCUCCCCUCUUCCACUUUGGUAACCUUAAGUUUGUUUUCUAUGUUUGCGGUCUAUUUCUGUUUUGUAUAUAAGUUCAUUUGUAUCCUAUUUUAGAUUCUACAUGUAUAAUAUUUGUCUUUCUCUGAUUUACUUCACUCAGUAUGAUAAGCUAUAGGUUAUCCUAGUUUCCGCAAAUGACAUCAUUUCAUUCUUUUUUAUGGCUGAGUAAUAUUCCACUGUAUAAAUGUACUACAUCUUCUUUGUCCAUUCAACUGCCUAUAGAAAUUUAGGUUAUUUCCAUGUCAUGGCUAUUGUGAUUAGUGCUGCUAUGAAUGUUGGGGUGCAUGUAUCUUUUCAAAUUAGAGUUUCCUCCUGUUAUAUGCCCAGGAGUGGGAUUGAUGGAUCAUUUGAUAGUUCUGUUUUUAGUUUUUUAAGGAACCUCCCUCCUGUUCUCCAUAGUGGCUGCACUAUUUAUUCAUCAGAAUACAGAAGCAUAGACCAUCAUCUCAACACGCAGCUCAGUAGAAAGUCAGGACCGAACUGUAUAGGAGGAGCACACAGGGAGAUGUGGACUUAGAAGUAGCAUCUAAGGAAGACUGCAUGGGUUUAAGGCUCAGGAAAUGGCAGGUGUUCACCCACCAGGCAGAGACAUGGGUCAUGGUCUUAGAGCAAGACCAGCUUCCAUGAAAGUCUGGAGAAAAGUGCAGGGUGAGGUGGUUUGGGACCUCAUUGGCUGAGCACAGUCUGUGGGUUCAUCACAUGGUCCCUGUGCCUGGCUGCUCCUACCCAUGCAGACAGUCCUGGGGACCCUUCCCUCCACAUACUGUUCAUUCCUGACCUCAAGCCUGAGCUUGGCUCUUGCCUUGGCCUUGUGUCUUUUCUAUGUAUCCUUCCUGGUCUUGUCGCAGGACACCUCCUGCCUCUUAGUCCCAGGGAGAGGAGUCCUUCUUUGUUUCAACCUCCUGCAGUACUCCCAUCAGGAUUAACCACUGAUGUGUCUAUUUCUCUGAGUGAUGCUGAAUGGUGACUGGGUGCCAGAUGUGCUCAGACAUGGGGUCCUGACAAAAAUGAUCCAUAGGAGAAGUUUGUGUUGGACUCCACCCUUAACUCCCCCUUGCUACUUAGAGUCUGUUGUCCUGGAAUGUCCCCCUAAUUCUUCCCCAUGACCCUCAAUAAGUCCAUCUCAGCAGCUUAAGACAUUUAGGUUGACAUGGUUCCUGCAGAUAAUCUUGUAAAGGGCUUCUACUGUCAAUUCUUCAGGAACAGGUCCUUAGCACAAAAUAAUUAGCCAACAUGUCCAAACCGAUGAAAUGUCAGAAAAUUUUGAAGGGGUUCUCAUAUCAGCUACUCUUGAUGAGUUUCAACAGUGUUCUUAUAAAAAGAAGUGUCUUAAUCACCACAAAGCUCUGAUGGUAGAAAUGUUAAGUGAGGAAGAAAUAAGAGGCUGUUAAAAAGUUCAUAUUCAAGUCAGGGCUCCUGGCUAGUUGGCAGCUCCAUCCACACACAGGGCAGCUUCCCUUUCACAACAGUGUUAAACUCAAAAAGCAAAAGCAAAAACCCAACUGGAACAAUGAUAUGUUUUCCAUAUGAAUGUUGCUUCUUCUUUUAUUGAAAUGCAUGUCAUUGUUCUUGAGGCUGGAAGGCUGAAGAUGAGUGAUGGCGUUUUCCAACUGUGCAGUCAAGCGCCGACCGCAGAACAAUGCGCUUUAAUAAACCUAGUGCAAAGUAUCCGGAGGGCUUUGAUCAGCAGGUGCAUCUGGGCAUCACACUACUUCUCUUUCCUUCCUGUUUCCUUCUUUCUGAUGAAUAACCAAAUUAGACUGGAUAGCAGAAAACUUCUUGCAACAGAGUUCGUGUGAACUUCAGUAUCCUGAUUUUACUUUCACCUUCAUCUGAGAAUUUGCCUCCAAAGAAAAAAAAAAUAAAAUGAAGGAAUAAAAGGACGUCUGUCUUUAGAUUGCAAAGCACCUGAUGUUCAGGUUAGUCUCAGCCUCGGAACUGACUUUGUUCCUGAAAGCAGUGGGUUAGGACAGUCUGGUAUCUGUUAAAUGCUGCUCAGUGUGAAAGCAUUCCUUCAACUCUUACCUCAUUGCUUCUGAAUCUGGGACACACCUUCCAACACCAUCUCCUUUAGUCCUAAGUGGAAAUAGCAGGUAUGAAAGUAAGCCUUAUGACCACACACCCUUCACCUCAUUUCCUUUAAGACACAGAACUAUAAUUAGAGCCACAAGAGUCACCUGGAUUUUCCACUUUGGAGUGGAGGAAAUCCGUGUCAUUAUUCUUUGUGCGUACUGUACUGUUGAAGACACAAAUGUUUCUCAAUACAAUCUGAUUUUGAAGUAGGGGAGAGAAAAAAUAAUGCAUACAUUAAAACAGCAAUCAGAUAUUAUGUGGGAAUCUUGAAAGGAUAAGAAACUCAGAUGAAAAUACUAGAAUAAUCACUCCACUUCCCUUUCUUCCACUUAUAAUAACUUUUGGUGUCAGGUCAAAAUAUUGUUUCACACCCAGGGCAUCUGUGGGUCAUUUUACCCUACAAAGUCACAA